GGUGGAGCGAUUUGUCUGGUUAAUUCCGAUAACGAACGAGACUCUGGCCUAUUAAAUAGACGAUAUAUUUAAAAGUAUAUCGCGCUUCUUAGAGGGACAAGCGGCGUCUAGCCGCAUGAAAUAGAGCAAUAACAGGUCUGUGAUGCCCUUAGAUGUCCGGGGCUGCACGCGCGCUACACUGGCAAAAUCAACGUGCUUGUCCUUCCCCGAAAGGGGCGGGUAAACCAUUGAAAAUUUGCCGUGAUUGGGAUCGGAAAUUGCAACUAUUUUCCGUGAACGAGGAAUUCCAAGUAAGUGCGAGUCACCAGCUCGCGUUGAAUACGUCCCUGCCCUUUGUAC
This 339-nucleotide ribosomal RNA is filed under the name Nematoda environmental sample. RNAcentral describes it as "bacterial SSU rRNA". It matches the Rfam family "Eukaryotic small subunit ribosomal RNA", at positions 1300 to 1665 of the family's 1831-position model. Lineage: Eukaryota; Metazoa; Nematoda. The record is from RNAcentral.